This 12853-nucleotide long non-coding RNA is filed under the name Vitis vinifera (wine grape). Its description in RNAcentral is "long non-coding RNA (VVIN_LNC002664)". Lineage: Eukaryota; Viridiplantae; Streptophyta; Magnoliopsida; Vitales; Vitaceae. The record is from RNAcentral.
CCAUUCAUGAUGUCCAAAUUUAAAAACGAAAAAGCAUAAAAUUAUCGGAAAGAAAACAAAGAAAAAGCUAAGACAGAAUUGCAGGAAUCAGUAAUGAAAGACAUAAACAUUAUACUCCACAACAACAUCUCCUGUUUUGGGAUUGAAGGUGUGAGUCCUCGCCUGAGCAUACCCACGAGCAAAUCGGAAAAGCCCACUGCCGCCGACGAUCGACAUCUCCCGCACCUUUGAAAAGAUAGUGUUUCGACCCAAAACACUGAGAGUACUGCCGUUGUACUUGCCCUCCAUGAAAGCAAAAUUCAGCACCAUCAAGAAGCCCAUUUCCUCCUGCGACGCCGAUGCGUAUAUUCCUUGGGCUCUUCCUACCAGCUUGGAGCUGGGCUCGGGUCCCACAGUCAAGGGAUCGUCCAUCAUAAGCACCGCGCCGAACACUGUCGCCGACUUGUUGGUCAUGGCGGCCUCAGCGACUCUCACGGCGGUGGGUUUCGGGCCGCUGAUUAUGUCGUGGAAGUAGAAGUGGAGGUGGCUGAGCUUCUCUUCCUUGAGGCCUAUCGAUUCCGGAGAAAGGUUCCUGGAGAAACGGUGGGAUUCCCCGCUGGAGCCGGAGGCCGCGACGGCGGCAAUGGUGGAGAAGAAAAUAGUGAAAAGGAUGAGGAGUUUUGCCAUCGUGGAGAAGAAACAAAGAUGGAAAAAGUUUUUGUGUCUACCUGCGCAACCAUACCUUCUUAUAAGUGUAUGGAUGAAGACAAAUAAAAAAAUAAAAAAUAAAAAAUAUUUAGCACCAAGCCUAAUAGUGUCACCGACACUUACGGGUGGUCGAGUUCUCGAGGCUUAGGAUGUCGUGGAGUCACUAAGCAUCCAAUGCUUGAGGCCCAAAAACAUAUAAAUUUUAACACAUAUAAUAAAUAAUAAAUCAAGAUUAUAAAAAAUAAAAUUAUUUGGCUUAGUUAGAUAUUUGAAAACAUGCUAUCCUAAAAUCACUACCAUUUCCCUGCAUGUAAUUUUAAGAUACAACUUCAAUAGACUCAUAAUAAUAUUUCCUCAACAAGCAUAUUAGACACGAAAACUAAGAAGAAUCCAUUGAAAAUUAAGUUACCCAAAAAAAAAAUGAACAUUUAAGAUGAAAAAACACGAUUGUAUAAAAAGUUAGGAAUAGUGGAAAAAACCAUAAUGAUAUAUGAAAACAUAUUUUUGUAUUAGAUUUAUCUUAUCUUUAAAAUGAAUUGAAUUACUCUUUAUAUAACAAUAUUUGUUGACUUCCUAAUUCAAUUUUGAUGGUGAUCAGUGUGGCCAUUGCAACUUUUUAACUAAAGUCCAAGUUAUAAAUCACGAGUCUUGUCAAUUGGAACAUUCUCGAAAAUCUCAAUUAUUAGAUGUGGAUUUUCAGAAGUACCUAUUUGCGUAUGGUACCUUGAUGCUAUGCUUCUCUUUAAAGGGUACUAAGUGGACAAGGACCUAUUUUUUGUACCAUCGAUAUAUAAAUAUUUUAUAAUAAUUUUAAAGAUAAAGGAAAAUCCUUUUUGUUAAUAAAAGAUGAUCAUUGUGUCCAUAAAGUGUCAUCAUAUUAAGACUCACAAAUCCUCAACAUUUGGAGAAAUUUAAAGUUGUUGAAUUACUUAUUAUAUAUAAAAUUUAAUUUCCAACAAAGGGGUUUAUGGAAACAUAGUGGGAUUCCAUACCGCCACCCGUGGAUAAAAAGAAUAUUGUGAAGGAAGAUGAGGGUUUUACGCAUAAUGGAUAAAAAGUAGAGUAGAAAAGCAAAAAUCUAUCGGUUGGAGUGGGCUUGUUAUCAAAGUAUGGUUUUAAAUAAAAUGUAUUGAAUACAACUUUCAAAAGGUGUUUGACUUUAUUAUUAGCAAGUUUGAAGGGAUUGAAUUGCACAAUUUCAUGCUUAACGAUGAAAUCAUACUCUUCAAAUUUUGUCUAAUAAUGUUCAAGUAAUUUUCAUGAAAAUAUAAUCUAAUUAUAAACAAAUAAAAGUGGGACAAUUAAUUUUUCACCUUUUUUUCGAACAUGUCUAAAAGUCAUUCUAAAAACUAUGUGCAUAUAAAUUGUAAAGCUAUUAUAAAAAAAGUAUAAUUUUAUUUUACAUAUUUAAAACUUAUUUUCAAAUUUAAAGUAAUAAUUGUUUUUUAUAUUCCAAAUUUUUAAACAGGUUUUAAAAAUAAUAUUUUAUUACUAUUUUCUAAUUUUAAAAACAAAAAUCAGCAAAUAUAUCCAAACCAAAAUUAAUUUUUUUCUUAAAUUUCUCAUAAAUAACUAUGAAAGACAGGGAUUCAGUUUUUGGCCAUGGUGGAAAAUUAACAAAGAGAAUGUUAAAAAAAAAAAAAAAAACAAAGGGACAAGAAAAAAGACCUAAAGAAAUAUUCACAGACUGGUUAAUAUUUAUACCUUGUUUAUAAGCCCAAAAUUAGUUUUUCUUUGACUGAUUUUUACAAUUUUACCUCUAAAAGCACGCCCCAAAAGGUGACGCUCACGUUUCUUUUCUAUUUUUUCUUUUCUUUUUCUUUUCCUUUUUCUUUUUUUGUCUUUUCCUUUCCUUCCAACGGCGAAAACAUUAUCUGUUAUGGACCGUUGGAUCAAAUAUGAAAGAAUAGAUGAUGCCACGUGGAAAAAACAAAGGAAAGCAAAAUCUAACGACGAAACAUUGACUGCUCAGAGAAAUUGAGGUCAUAAAAAAAUAUUAUUGAUUUAAUAAUUUAAUUUAAGUUAUUAAAUAAAUUAAAUAUAUGUGAACAAAUAAUUUAAUGAUAUAAAUUAAAAUAAAAAAUAAAGUUAAAUAAUAAAUAAAAAUAAUUAACUUAUUCUUAAAAUUAUAUUUUUAUUUUACCUUUUUACUCUCAUUUAUCCUAAUUAUUUUUAAGAUCUCUUUUGUCUUUACUUAACCUCAUUUACCCUAAUUAUAAUUUACAAUGAUAAAUAUGUCAAUUUGAUAAUUUUAAGUUAAUUUUAUCAAACAAUCUUAAUACUUAUAAAUAAAUUUAAGUAUAAUUUAACUUAAGUUAUUAAGUAAUAAGUAUUAAGUUUAAUCAUAUACUCUUAAAUCUUACACUAAUUAAAGGAAACAAAAUAUAAAAAAAUCUCUAAGUUUGGAUUUAUUUUCUAUUUUUUUAUUAGAAACUUCCAUAUAAAACCAAAUAUAUUGUAUAAAAAGUAAAGAUUUAUUUUAUAUCUUUAAAAAUUAUUUUAGAAAUUCAAAAUUUGAGAUAGGAAUUUUUUUUAAUAUCUCAAAUUUUUAAAUAGUUUUUAAAAUUAAUAUUUUUAUUUCAACGUAAACAUUUAAGAGUUCUUGUAUAGUAUAUAAAAAUAAUUUUUCAAUUUUAAAAACAAAAGAGAACACUAUAAUUUUUAUUUUUAUUUUAAAAUAAAAAUAGUAAUAACCUUUAUUUUGCAAAAAGUUAACAAUUGGGAUAUUAAAAAAACUUUAUUAUCUCAAAUUUUUAAACUUAAAAUAAUAUUGUGGACCCCUUAUUUUGGUUCGAUACAUUCCCACUCUAUGGCGAAACUCGCUUUUUAUUUGUUUGGUGAAAAUUUGAUUUUUAGAAAAAUACUUUUUGAGUGACCAUUUAUUUUUGUUUUAUUUUUUAAGGGAAAAACAAAAUAAGAAAGAAAAACCCUAAGUAUAACUCCUGAAGAAAAAAAAAAAUAGGUCUGUGAAAAACCGAAUCUGGGUCCGAGGAUCAUGUUAUUUAUUGGAAAAGUACGGUGGUGAGUCGUAGCACCCCUCUAAGCCCCUAAAAAUGGGUUUUUACUAAAUAAAGUAAGACGAGUGUGACAAUUGAUAUGGAAAUCAAUGGAUACCCACAAUGACCAUAGGCAAAAAACAAGUCAUUAUAAUGAAUUAAUAAACAAAGUGAGAGUAAGAGCGUACUUUGCCUGUAGGUAAUAAAGCGCUAUCAUGGAAAUAAGGUUAGCUCAAAUAUAAAAUUAUUACAUACAUAUCAAAGAGUAAAACAAAGAUCAAGUAAUAUUCAUUAAGUAUAGUAGUUGACAAUCAAAAGAGAAAACUCAUAUGUGGGGCCCCCACCAAAGCUCAAUUUAUCUUGCAUGAAUUGGUCUCACAAAUUCUAUUAUUUUGGAAUUAUGAAAAAAUUACUUAUUUAAAAUCAAGAGAAACAGAAAAUUAUUUGAAAAUCGAAGAAAAUUUGUACAAGCACAUACCAAAAUGAGAAUGGCAGCAGACUUAUUAAAAUCAGGAUUUUUGGCAACCUAAAACCCUAAUAAAUGAUGACAAGUUGCAGAAUUGAAAAAAUAUUUCACAACUGGAGUGGAAUAAAACUAUUCGGAAGAAAAUUAGAGUUUUGAAUUUAACUUGAAAAUUGAAGUCUCGAAAAUUAUUUGAAAAUUGAAGUUUUGAAAAUUCAAUUUAAGAAUUGGAAUUUUGGAAAUUAAAUUUGAAGAUGAAAUUUUUUUAUAAAUAAAUAAAUAAAACAAUAAUAAUAACAAAAAUAAUAAUGACUAAAUAAAUAAAUGUAAAAAUUGGAAUUUUGGAAAUUGGAAAUCGAAUUUUUAAGAAUUAUUUAAAAAUGGAAUUUUAAAAAUAAAUAAAUAAAUAGAAUAAUAAUAAUAACGAAAAUAAAAAUGAUUAAAUAAAUAAAUGAGAAAUUUUGAAUUUUGGAAAUUGAUAAUUAAAUUUGGAAAUCAGAAUUUUGAAGAGUUAUUUAAAGAUGGAAUUUUAAAAAUGAAUAAAUAAAUAAAUAGAAUAAAAUAAUAAUAAUAAUAACGAAAAUAAUAAUGAUUAAAUAAAUAAAUGUGAAAAUUGGAAUUUUGGAAAUUGGGAAUUAAAUUUGGAAAUCGGAAUUUUGAAGAGUUAUUUAAAGAUGAAAUUUUAAAAAUAAAUAAAUAGAAUAAUAAUAAUAAUGAUUAAAUAAAUAAAUGUGAAAAUUGGAAUUUUGGAAAUUGGGAAUUAAAUUUGGAAAUCAAAAUUUUGAAAAAUUAUUUAAAGAUGAAAAUUUUUAAAAUUAAAUUUGAAAAUAAUUAAAGUUUGGAACUUUUGAAAAUUAAACUUUAAAAUGGGAGUUUUGAAAAAUUAUAUUAAAAUUGGAGCUUUGAAAAAUUAAAUUAAAACUGGAGUUUUGGAAAAUUAUCUUAAGAUUAAAAUUUUGAAAAUUAAAUUUUUGGCAUCAAAAGAUGAAAAAUAAGAAAAUAAUAAUAAAAAUAAGACAUAUGGCCUUAGCAUCAUUGGCCAAACGUGUACAUGCAUAAUCCAAGGAAUAAAAAAAUGGAAAAGGUGAAGCACCAACAGCACCAGUGCACCACAAACCUAUUUUCCAUAUAACAAUAAUGUCAUACCCACACCACAAACCCAUUUUCCAUGCAUAUAUUCGCCAUACCCAUCUAGGUUACAGUAAGCACCUUAAAAACCAGUUGCAACCAUAUCCCAUACCAUAACCGUCAUAUCCACCAACAAAACCCAAAGCUCAAAAUAUCAACUAUGAAGAUCAAAACCCAAUUCACGUUGAUUAUAGCAGUAAGAGAAUGGAGAAGUGGAAUGAAAACAACAAUUUGUGAGUCGUGGCAUGGGCAGGCAAACGAAGGCAUGGGUACGGGGGAGAUGAAGUGGAAUGAAAGCAGAGGGGCGAUGAACAGUGCCACGAACCGAUUGAUACCAAAAUGGGAGGAGGAGCUGGAGAAGCAGCUGCUUUUGAUGCAGCAGCAGCCACCGGAGCUUCCAUCGCUAUGGAAAGUGCUCUUAUGUAUAAUGAAAAUGAUUCGGUAAAGGUGGUAAUGGUGGACAAUGGACGGUGGUGAUAAGAGAUAGGAGUAUAGCAGUAUGGGUGUGACGACAUGGGUGUGAUGGGUAUGAAAUGAGUGGGGUAAAGUGGAAGAAAUGGUAGGUUUGCAAGGUGGCAGAAGGCAUGGGAAUUGGUUGUGAUGAAGGUGCAAUAGGGACCAUGCCGGUUUGGCCUAGAUGGUGAUCACUGCAUAACUUGAUUUUCAUGCGCGGGGCCCGGGUGAGUGGUAGACUGGGCGAAUCUUCUUUUUUGCUUCUCUCAUGGCGGUCAAGUCCCCUUUACCGUAAUCAAUUCCAGUUAAAAUGGAGAACCUUUGCUUUGAGGGUGUUUGAGGCGCACGUUGAAUGGCGUCGGAAUGGUGGCUGAGGCGCACCUUGAAUGGUGCCUCAAAUGGUGCCUUUUAAAUGCCUGAAAACGCCGCCGGAAUGACGUCAAAACCGCGUCCAUUUUGAACACCUGAACGGCGUCUUAACGACACCUGAAAUUGCCCAAGAUUUAAUUUUUUGUUGUUUCUGAUUUAAUAAAAGUUUUGGUGAAAAAUGGGAGGCUCUGAUACCAAUUGAUAAACAUUUUUUAUCUCUAUUAUCACUAACAAUACAAACAGAAAGUAUAUGUAUACCAAGCAUUCAAAUUAUGUCUUCCACUGUUGUCUAAGAACAUACCUGAGUCGAUUAUUUUUCGGCGAUGAAUACAGUAUAGAUCUUCUAAGGCUGUAGAGGACACCACCUUCUUUCUGAAUUCUCUCAGACGAUGGGAGCCGAAGAGAAACAGGUCUGUUCUAAUUCCAAAACUGAUGUGAUCUAUAUGAACAGACACACAGUCUAUUAUAUUUAUACCUUCCUGCCUUAGGGACCAUACCCUUUGGCUAUUGGGCCUCACGAGUCUUAGGCCCAUCAUCUAAGGCCUGUGAAGGCGUUGGGCUCUACACAUAAGGUGGCCCAUACUGUGGAAAACCGAUACAAAAUAAACAUUAAGACGAAUAGCUUAGUCAUGUACCAUUGUCAAAUAUGUGUGAGUCCAUAUCUUAACAAAUAUUUAAUUAUAUUGUAUUUUAAGUGAAUUUCAGAGUAAAAAUGUUUCACAUAAUUAAAGUCAAAUUAUAUUUUUUUUAAAAGCGAGUUUAUAGUAAAUUUAAUUAUGAAUACGAUAAUAUUUUUCUUGACGUGAAAAAUUAUAAGUUGUGUAUAAUUUAUAAUUAUGGAAUGAAAAUUAAAGAAUAAUGUUUUUAAUUUAUUGAGAAAGGAACACGCAUGACAUUUUGGGUUUUGUUUUAAUAAGCAUAUAUAUAUAUAUAAAAAGAAGUGGGUCGAUUGUAGGGAAGUUAAAAAAAAUGAGAGAAAUGGGAGAGAUGCGGUCGACUGAGAGUGGGAAAAGAAUCGCCUAUGAUAUACCAAAUGAAGUAUGUUUCAUGUAAAAUUUUAAAAGGAUAUUCUAUUCAACGCGAGCAACACUCUUACGAAGUCCAAUUUUCAUUUCAAUGGUUAGAUUUUCAAAUUUAAAAUAGGGAGACUUAACCCUACAACUUUUAUUUAAUGCAUUUUUCUUUAAAAACUUUAUAAAUAUCAUUGUUGGAAGUUAAAUAGGUAAUAUUUGUGAUAUGAGAAAUUUUAUUGGGUGAUUUAGGCAUUUUAUUUAGAAUUUUUGUGAUAAUGAGUAAUUUAAAUUGUUGAAAAUGAAUGUGUUUGGUUAUUAAAAAUUAUUGGGAUUAUUGAAAAUAAAUAAAAUUAUGGUAUGAAUUAUGUUUGAUUAAUAUUGGGAUUAUUGAGAAUUUAUUAAGAUGUUUUUGAUAAUUUAAUUAUAGAAAAUGAUUGUGUUUGGUUAUUAAAAAUUAUUGGGAUUAUUGAGAAUAAAUAAAAUGAUGGUAGAGAUUAUAUUUGAUUGAUAUUGGGAUUAUUGAGAAUUUAUUGGGAUGAUUUUAGUAAUUUAAUUGUGGGAAAUUGUUGUAUUGGUUAUUGAAAUUAUUGAUAUUAUUAGGAAUAAAUAAAAUGAUGAUAUGAAUUUGGGUUUUUGUUAAUAUUUGAAUUAUUAGAAAAUUUUACUUGAAUGUUGUGGUGGCUUGAUUGUGGAAAAUUGUUGUAUUGGGUGUUAAAAUUAUUGAAAUUAUUGGAGAUAAAUAAAUUAUGACAUAAAUUAUAUAUUUUUUAUAUUUGCAUUGGUGAGAAUUUUCUUGGGUAUGUGUGGUUAUGUAAUCGAAGAAAAAAUUGUUAUAUUAGUUGUUGGAAAUUAUUAAGCAUGUCGGAAUAAAUAGAAUUUAUGUGGCUAAGAUUUAAAACUAUGUUUUGAUGCUAUACAAAUUAAUUGUGAAUUUUCUUUAAUAUACAAGGUGAUUAGAGUGAAGAAAAAUCGUUGUGUGAAUUGUUGAAAAUUAUGAAACAUAAUGGAAGUAAAUAGAAUUAUGUCUUGAAAAAUAAUAAAUGUUAAAAUAUGAUUUGAUUGCAUUUCAUAUGCAUCAUAGUUGUGUGAAAUGGAAAUGAUAAUGAAAAAACCCCCAAAAGGGCAAAAAUGAAAAGAAAAGAAAAAUGAGAAAUGAAAUGACCCCAAAGAAAGCAAAUUAAGAAUAGAAUGAGAUCCUAGAGUGAAAGACUGAAAAGUUUACCAUAUGAAAACUCCAAAUGGGGAGUAUAUUUGGGUACGGGCAUCUAUCAUUCAGUGAAAGCCCGAGAACGACAUUGCAAUGUGUGAUUGCGUGUAAACAUUUGCAUCAUGAUUGCUUUUAGAAAAAUAAUUUGUAUUAUUUAUCAAGUAUAUGUUUGAAUAUAUUAUUCAAGACUAAAAUGACUUAUUUAUUUUGUAAAUUUAGAAUUAUUAAUAUUCUAAACAUAUGAUUGAAUAAGAUAAAUGAUAAUUUUGAUUGGUUUAAAUUUGUAUGGUUGGUGUUUCUUUUAGUGUGUAUAAUGUAAAUGUAAUAUUAUAUUUUGACAUAUGGUUGUAUUUUAUUAACCUAGAAAUUCUUACUCGUUUGGGUGUAAAACACUCUACCGAGCAAUAUGGAAAUGCUCACCCUUUUAUUUUCUAAAAUUCUUAGAUGCAUAUAUAGUUUUGAAGAAUUACAUAAAGAACAUGAAGUGUUCCAGAAAGCCCCAUAAAGUAAAAGAACCAUAGUAUUGCUUGUUUUUCAUUUAUAUUACAUUUUUGAAAUGUAUUAAUUUGAGUUAUAUGGACUUUUGUAACUUAAAUUACGUUUUGUUAAUUUGUAAAACAUUUUUUGAUAUAUCUUUUUUGACUUAGAGAUUAUUGUAACUAUUUGGGUUAUCACAUAAGGUGGAAAAAUGACAGGUGGAUUGAUUAUACUUGUGAACAAGAGAUAGUAUAAUAGUUGGUUUUGGAAAAAUAAAAUAAUAUGUUGCAUUAAAUUUUAGCUUAAUAAAUUUAUUUAGGAUUAGUUGUUUUAUCGAAAAAAAAAAUCAAGGUGUUUCGAUUAAUUGUUAGGCUGGAUAUGAGUAAUGACCAGGGGUCACAAGUCGAGUUCUAAGUUGCCCAAGAAUUUGGGGUGUGGGACCCACUGCUGCUGACGAUCGACAUCUCCCACACCUUUGAGAAGACGAUGUUUCGGCCCAAAACACUAAGGCUAUGUUUGGUUCCCGGAAAGUACAAAGGAAAGAAAAAAAAUGCUAAGGAAAAUGAUUUUCUCAUGUUUGGUUGUCCUAUAAAAAAUAUCAAAGAAAAUCAAAUAUAAUUAAAACUAAUUAAAAACUUAUGUAUUUUUAAAUUAUUUAAUCUUUAUAUUGAUGAGUUAAAAUAAAUAAAAUGAGUUUGAAGUAACAAAAAAAAUAAUUUAUCAACUUUUAAUCUAUUUUUUUAUUUUCCUUCACUUUUUCUUUCCUUCUACUUUUCCUUUGUAUUUUCUUUCCCUCGCAUUUUCCCUCAAAUUUUCCGGGAACCAAACAUAGCCUAAGAGUACUGUCGUUAUAUUGGCCCUCAAUGAAAACAAAAUUUAGCACCAUCAACAAGCCUACUUUCGUCUACGACGCCGAUGCGUAUAUUCCUUAGGCUUUUCCCACCAUCUUGGAGUUGGGUUCGGGUUCCUCGAUUAAGAGAUCGUCCAUCAUGAAUACCGUGCUGAACACUGUCGCCGACUUGUUGAUCAUGGCCACCUCAACAACUCUCAUGGCGGUGGGUUCCGGGCCACUGACAAUGUCGUGUAAGUAGAAGUGGAGGUGACUGAGCUUCUCUUCCUUGAGACCCAUCGAUUUGGGAGAAAAUUUUUUGGAGAAACGGUAGGAUUCCUGGCUGGAACCGCGGCGACAACAAUGGUGGAGAAGAAUUAAACAAAAGUGGAAAAAAUUUAUGCGUCCAUUUGCCGAACCAUACCUUCUUAUAAAUAAAUGAAUGAUGGCAAAAAAAAAAAUAUAUAUUUAGCUUCAUUAUUUAUUUGUGGGUUUAACACAUUUUAAACUCUCAGUUUAUCCAUGUUGUUUUGCACAUUGACCCUUUAGGUUUAAAAUCGAACUCUUUAUACCCCAGACUUCUUAAAUUAUAGUGUUCUACUUUUUCUCGUUGGACAAUGCAAACUUCUUAAGUUGCAAUACUCUACCUUUUUCAUUGGUAGGUGUUAAUUUAAGUGAACAAAAAUCCGAUGUUGUAUAUGUGACUGACUAAUGUAAGGUAAAUUUAUAAAUUCUCAAACCAAAAAAUUAAACAAAUUGCCUUCAUACCAAAUCUUCGUUUAUUCAAAAUAAUAUGUUUAUUUAUUUAUAAUUAAAAUAAUCGAAAUUGAAAAUAUUUAAAAUUACGACAUUAAUAAAUAUCAUUUGGGAGUAAUUUUCAAAAAUGGUUUCGUAUGUAGUCAUUUAUAUGGUUAAACAUAAGAGAAAUGGAUCUUAUAAUAAAAUUUCAUAAACUAUUAAAAAAAAUGUAUAAAGACAUUCGUUGACUUACUUGAUGAGCGGCGUGGAUUUCGGAAAUUCCAAAUUUGGGUUUUUGAUGAUUCCCUGCACUUUAUGGGGUGGUGGUCCUAACGCAUUAGAGGAUGGUGACGCUCACCUGUCUUUUCUUUUCCUUCCGAUGAGGAAAGCUGUAAAUGUUAGGGACGGUUGGAUCAAAUAUGAAGAGCAGAUGAUGCUACGUGGAAAGUACAAAGAAAAAGGGGGAAUCACCUAAUGAUAAUUAUUGGGAAGGUUGGUCCCAUUUGAUAACGAAUAUACUAAAAAUGUCAUUAGAUUAAAAAGCUUUUAAAAUUUAAAGCAUUCAAGGGACUUCACUUUUUGUUAGGACAUUUAUGGUGCAGGACCUCAUAUUAAUGGUAAUUAUUGACAUUAAAAUUUUAAAUCAAGAUUUUGAUAAUAGUAUAAUUUAUUAUUUAAAUUUACUAUUUAAAACAAAAAAUAUUUUGAUCGUUAAAUUUGUUAUUUUAAUCCUUACAACUUUAUUAACUUAAUAUACAAAUAUUCAAUUGAAUAACACAUAAUUAUUCAAUGAAAUAACACGUAACUAUUCAUUGGAUAAUAUGAUAUGUGAAAAAAUUAAACAAAAAAAUAAAUUAAAUUAUAUUAUAAUAUAUUGUAACAUUAGUGUAUUUAUGUUGUAAGUAUAAUGCAUUUAUGUCAUACUUAUAUUUUAUUACAAAAAUGAUAAUUUUUAAAAUGCUUAAUUUUAUCUUAUGGUAUUAACGUAUCAUUAUCAGUAUAUUAACAUCAUUCACCUAACAUAUUGAAAUUAUUUAAUAACUUUUAUGUAUAUAUAUAUAUAUAUAUAUAUAAUAAAAUAAAAAAAGCUAUGAGUCUCAUGAAUUCAAAAUAAUAUUUUAUUUGGUUUUAGAAGUGAUUCAUAAUAUAAAUGUGUUAUGAAAUAUGGUAUGAUCAUACAAAACUAUAACUUUUAUAAAAAAAAAGUUUAAAUUUUCCUAAUUAGGUUUUAUUGUAAUGAAAGUGUAUUUAUAUUAUAAUUAUAACAUAUUUUGAUCGUACAUGUAUUUUAUAAUAAAAGUAAUAAUGUUAGAGAUCACUUUUUAUACCUUAUUAAUAUUUAACAUAUAAUAUGUAUUAACAUCAUCCACUCUAUCUAUCAAGGAAAAUAUAUAUAUAUAUAUAUACAUAUAUAUGAAAAUUAAGAAAAAAUAUUAUGCAAAAGAAAAAAAAAUGGAAAUAUCAUAUAAAUUUUUUAAAAUUAUUUUCUUAUAAAAAAUAAAAAACAAUUAAACAUUCUCUAUUUUCUUAUUCUUUUUAGAUAAUCCAAAUGAAAAAUUAAGUAAUCGAUCUUCCUUGAAUUUAACACAAAAAUAUAAUUUAUUAAUUUUAAAUUAGAAAAAUACAUAUGAAAAAAUCAUUAUUUUUAUUAUAUGAUUGUGAAACUUUCUUAAUAAAAAAAUUAGAAUAAAAAUAAAAAAUGUAAAAAAAACACAUUAAAUGUUAUUUUAAAAUAUUUGUUAGAAAUAUUUUUGUUUUAAAUAGUAAAUUUAAAUAACAAAUUACAUCAUCAUCAUAUAUAAUAAUGGUAAUGGUUAAAUCUAAAAUUUAAACGUCAAUAAUUACAAUAAAUGUUGGACUCAUGUACCAUAGAUGUCCUAACAAAAAAUUAAGUCAUUUUAAAUAUUUUAAAUUUUAAAAAUUUUAGUUGGAAGGCAUUUUUGAUAUUUCAAAAUAUUAUUGUCCUUUCGAUUACACCCUUUCCAGUAAUUAUCCUAUUUAACCCACCUAUCCGUAAUUAUCCCAAAGAAAAUCGAGUCCUUGAAGGGCCAUCGACAUGCUAGGUACCAUCCUAUGAGCCUAUAAUUAAUCAUGAAUCUUAAGAAUUUUUUAUUUUUUAUUUUUAUAUUUUUUUUCCUUCCAAAUUUCGACAUGUUUAUUAAAUUAGCAGUAAAAUAUGUGGAAUAAGCAAAUAAUUUAAAAUUUUCCCAUUCAUGAUUCCAAAUUAAAAAACGAAAAAGCAAUAAUUAUCGGAAAGAAAACAAAGAAAAAGCUAAGACAGAAUUGCAGGAAUCAGUAAUGAAAGACAUAAACAUUAUACUCCACAACAACAUCUAGAUUGAAGGUGCGAGUCCUCGCCUGAGCAUACCCACGAGCAAAUCGGAAAAGCCCACUGCCGCCGACGAUCGGCAUCUCCCGCACCUUUGAAAAGAUAGUGUUUCGGCCCAAAACACUGAGAGUGCUGCCGUUGUACUUGCCCUCCAUGAAAGCAAA